RNAcentral lists this long non-coding RNA (246 nucleotides) under Gallus gallus (chicken). Its description in RNAcentral is "long non-coding RNA NONGGAT007336". Lineage: Eukaryota; Metazoa; Chordata; Aves; Galliformes; Phasianidae. The record is from RNAcentral.
CGGGCAGCAGCGGGCACUGAUAGCAUCCUGCAUCCCUACACAGCAUCCUGCAUUCCUGUGUAGCAUCCUGUGCCCAUACACAGCAUCCUGCAUCCCUACAGAGCAUCCCAUGUCCAUACACAGCAUCCUGCAUUCCUGCACAGCAUCCCACAUCAUACUGUGUCCCUACACAGCAUCCUGCCAGCAAUGUCGUGCACCUCUUGGUGUCUGGGUGCCUCCCUCACCCCACACGGAGCUCUCUGUGCC